RNAcentral lists this long non-coding RNA (6835 nucleotides) under Podarcis lilfordi (Lilford's wall lizard). Lineage: Eukaryota; Metazoa; Chordata; Lepidosauria; Squamata; Lacertidae. The record is from RNAcentral.
UCACCACCAAAUGGCCCUUUCCAAUGUUUCUUGGUCUUCCAAGAUGGGCAGUCUUUCCCCUGCUGCCUAGCUGUUAGCUGAUAGUAGACAGGACUGGAUUCUGACUUGUUAUAAAACAGAUUCAGUGUGCCUGAGCUGAAAGUGCUUUGAUUUGAUCUAUUUAAGGUCAAACUCCCAGGCAUUUCAACUGUGCAUUAUGCUGUUUAAGAUCAUCAGUCUUCAGUAAGUAUUGUUGGAACACACAAGAGGACCAUGCCUCAACCUCAAGCAGGUGGCACCAACAUUAUUUAUUUACUACUAGUUGCCUUGUACCUGGCAUUGCUUAGGACUGUAAGAAGUUAAAAAAGAAAGUGCAAUUUUGAACAGUUCAGUCCACCAUCUUGAUUCAAAAUAGCAUCUAAUUGUAUCCAAACAUAGACAAAAACUUGAUCUCAGGAACCAUCAUACAAAAUUUGGUUAUGAUAUUUUAAGUGUCCAAAUGAACAGCAAACAAAUAGAUUAUUAUUAUUUUAGCAAAUUAUAUUUGGGAUAUCAGAUUACAAUUUGGGAGGAAGAAUAGCUCUUGCAUUUCCCACCCCUGCGUAUUGAUAUAUACUAUAAAACUUGGUGCCAGUGGUGUCCUCUAGAUGUUGUUGGACUACAGCUUCUGUUUAUCGCUGACCAUUGGCCAUGCUGUCUGGGACUGAUGAGAGUUGGAGUCUAACAACAUCUGGAAGGCACUACAUGAUAGGCUAUCUUAAUAUAAAACAAGUGUUGUUGGCAUUCGUCAAAUGUUGGAGAAUACGCAUCAACCCCUUCUUUCUGCCCCCUAAUGUUUUUUAACCAGCAAAAGUAUGCACACCAAGGCAGUACUAGAACAGGAAAUUCUGCUCCUUCUGAAAAACUGCUUAUUAGUACAAAAUGCUUCCCUAGAUUUUGGACCAGAUUUAUCAUCCAGUGAUAAAAGCUUGUCUGAGAGGGCAUGAUGGGUCACACAUUUUAUCAGGUAGGAGUUAAAAUUAGUACUUCUCUUGCCGGAAAGGAGCUAGAACCUUGAAAGAAGAAUGGACUAUCUAUGCAGAUGCAAUCAAAGUGUGGACAGGUCUACAAAUAGGCUAAUUCUGUCCCUUAAAACCCAACAUUGAAAUAUUACUCCCUGCCCCUGUUUACCUCUGUGGAAUUUAGAUGAGAGCAUCAGGCUCUCCUGAAGGGAUAAUAAUUUGGAAAUGCAUGGUGUUUUCUUGACCAAUUUAUCUCUCUUCACUGGCAAGCAAGUUAUUUUGGCCUGUCUGUGAGAAGGCAUCAAAGCUGAUUGUAAACUGUGGAAGCAUGAAAGCUUCAGGCAGAUUAAUUUUUGAGCUGGAGCAAGCUACAGAAAAAUGUAACUAAAAGGGAGACCAACACAUACGAAUUCUCUGCUCCUGAGGAGCUGAGAUUGCAGUGUGAAUGCAGAGUGGGACCUUGGCAAGAAAGGCAGCACCGCAAGAGGUCAAAUUAAUUCUCAGUGAAAUCCUGUUGGCUUUAAUGGAAUAAAAUCCCUGUUCAUUAAUCUGAUGAAGUUGGCUGUCACUCAUGCUGCAAGAUAUCCUUUCACCUCUAAAGUAAUCCUGAAUAUUUUAAUAGAGAUUAUGAAGGCUUUGAAUCAGGAUACCUGAAAGCUCAGCAUCCAGGUCAUGUGAAGUGAUAAGGCAAAGAGUUACACUGAGCAUGUGCAGAUUGUCCCUGUUUCAUGGUAGCCGUAUCCAGACCCCCACAAGUCUCCUGCUUUAGGUUCCUCAUCAGGAUUUACCUCUUUCAUUAAACCUUUGGCCUAAUCUCAUAAUUCUCAUCCUGAUCCAAAAUUAUGUCUAAAAUUUAACUAAAUUUCUCACCUACUCUCUGUGUGAAACUUCAUUUAUCCUUUCUCCCCCCUUUUUUGUCUCCCUCACAAUACAAAUAUAGUUUGUGAGAAAGACCUAUAGUGCAAGGGUUUUUCCACUUCUCUUAUUCUGCAAUGUUAAUGGCGCUGUAUAUAUGAAGGCGGGAAAGAAAUUGAAUAAAUGCGCGCGCGCACACACACACGCGCGCACACACACACACUUUCUCUCUCUCUCUCUCUCUCUCUCUCUCUCCUAUGAAAAUACAAUAUAUUGGCUAAUGGUACUUAGUAUAAUUGUCCAUUCCAUUACGACCAAAUAUGUUACUUUUAGGUGCCAGGCAAAAAUGUUUCUUUUCAUACAGGCUUUUGGCCUUUAACUAGGAGUGUUUUAGAUUUUGUGGCCUCCACUAAUGGGUGGAAUGUGUUAAAUUGCCUUUUAUGCAUAUAAAUGCUUUUAGCUUUUCUGUUUAGUUUUAUCUUGGUUUUAUUUUUUAUUAUACCAAAUGUGUAAGAAAUAAUAAUAAUUACAAAAUAUAGCUCACUGGACAGAAUAUUAAUCAGCCCUGAAUACUAAAAUAUACACACAAGUACCUUCCACUUUGGAUUAUACUAUUCUAGUCUAUUGACCUGAUAUUCCUUCUUCAUCUAUCUGUAUUAGAACCAGACCCCAACAUUCUGUCAUAGGUUGACCUAAACACAGAUUCAAUAUGGGACCUGUGAAAGAGGAUAGGGAGUCAGACAGAAGCAUUCUUGAUUCACAAUGGACGGGAACUGAUCCCAUUGUUUUGUCCUUUAUAAGUUAAUUGCUUGUUAUCUUCUCCUAUGGAGAAAAAGCUGCGCAUGAGGUCAAUGAGGGUAGCAUUUCUCUCUGCUCUGACACUAGAUGACCCAACCCUCUCUGACAGGCUAUAUAUUGGACUACAACUCCUAUUCGUUCCAGCAGUGCUACCUGAGGAUCAUGGGAGUUUGUAGUCUGAAACAUCUGGAGAGUAUCAGAUUGGUGAAGGCUGCCAGGGGGUUUAAUUUUCCAUUUCCUCCAAACCUGAGUGGUGCCAAAGGAGGAAGUUUUGGGACAGGAGUUGGAGCAGCCAAGGAGCUGUCCAGCAGGAUCUGGAAGGCUGGACAGGGGACCUCCCCCUCACAGCUGUUGCACCAACAAUUUGCAAUCAGUAACUGAUGGUUUUACAGUAGACCCGGCUCUGCCUCUUCUGGCAUCUCUAUGGGGCUCUGAUCCAGAGCAUGCACUAGUACUUACCUCCUCUUCCCAAGCAGGACUGAGGACAGGGAGGCUUCAGUCUUCCAAACAGUUUGGAGUUUUAGCACAGGGAAACAUUUGGUCCCUCAUUAUUGCAGCCUCCUCAAGAGGGGAAUAAUUCAGUUCUUUCUUAGGAGUUGUUAACUUCCCAGAGUCCCCAUCUGUGCUGGGGCUCAAAGUAGGGUUCCUCUUCUUCUCUGUGGAGAAAGUAUGGUUUGGUUCAGGGUCUGCACAUAGGCAGGUACUGAUACAGAUUCAUUUUGGUAUUUAGACAGAGGACAUCCUCCACUCCCACUCUGGUCUUUGCAAUGCAAAAGCUUUCCCUCUGCAUACAUCCUGCCCAUCAUCAUGGUGGGUAUUUCACUAGCAAAGAGUUGCAAUCAUCUGGCAUUAGGAGGAAGGCAUUUCAGCUCAGAGAGUGUGGCUUGUUUCAGGCCCCAGCACUGAAGUACUGGAGAAUUUGUAGAUACAGAAUGAAUCAGGGCUUCCAUCUUCGUUGCCACAAUGUGUUAGUGGAUAAAGCAUUUUUAAAAAAUGAAUGAAAGCAUAAAUGAGAUUUGGUCUCAAGAAGGACAUCUGCUUAAAAUCAUCAUGCACUCACCCCACAUUAUGUAAGGUGGCAGAUUUGUUAGUUAUGCUGGUGGCUGUCCUUAAUAUGUGUGACAAUGGAGUUCUCUUUGAUGCUCAAAUGUCAGGCCAGUGUUUAAUGGCUUUGGCUGGAGUUAAGGAAAGCACAGGAGGGUGCCAUUCAAAAUCCCCAUGCAGUUCAGCCAGUUCAUCCAAAUGCUGACCUGCAAUGCCCUUUCUAUUUCAGGUUUGGGCCCCAUCCAUAUAGAUGCAGACAAUAUUCAACCUUCUCUCCAUCAGACAAUAGCCUAGACUGUUGUAUGUGUGCAGAUGGAUAAAUAGGGAUAUACUUAAGUGUUCACUGCUAUCCAGGUUGAAACCAGGUAGUUCCAUUACAUUUCAGUCCAAUUUUAGCUACAGUUCUUAAGCUGUGGAGUUCACACUAUAUGACCAGACCACUGUGACUCUCAGUGUUUGUUGCUGUUGUCAUAACUGCUCACAGAAAUUAACUUCCCAAUUAUCCUAUAACUCAGCAGUGAAAGAAUGUGAGCGGAAAACUAUUUUAACUUUCCUAUUGAGCAAAACAUAGAUGGUGAAAUGGUGGUAGAGGAAACUAAUCUAUUCCUCAUACAUUUUAGGCCAUGUGCACGCAAACAGGUCUCCCCCACUGGUUGCUGUGACAAGUAGGAUUCGGUGCUAUCUCAGCAAGUGAAGGAGGAGAGAGCAGAAAGCUGUUGUUGGAGGAAUCCAUUACCAGAUCCUGGUUUUGAUUGUUUUUGUGGGCUCUCAUGUACCCGAGUAACAUUGGGCCCACUCAUAGCAGCUGCCACCCACCCACUUUCUUAACUCCUCGGUAGUUAGGUAAUUUAGGACUCUGGACUUAACCAACUGACACCUGCCUAUUCUCCACAGUGGGGCAGAACCAGAUAGUGACAGUGAAGAGUGGAUGGAGCAGCAAAAGUUGCUGAAAUUGCCCAGGGAACAUAAGGACAUCAGAAGAGCCCUGUUGGAUCAGACCAGAAGCCCAUGCAGUCCAACAUCCUGUUAUGCUGCUGGCCAACCAGGUGCCGAUGGGAAGCCCAUCAGGAGAACAGGAGUGCAAGAGCUCUCACUCACUGUUGUUCUCCAACAACUGGUGUUCAGCGGCGGGCUGCUGCCUUAGUACUUAGCUACCAUGACCAAUAGCCAUUGAUAGCCUUAUCUUACAUGAACCUGUGAAUCCCAUCUCACAGGUAGGUAAGUAGGCUAGGGUAGCAAAACAGGAGCAGUAAGAUGGCCACUGCUGUCCAGCAGCACAUUCAAGAGGGCUGCCAUCAGUGGAGGGGGGUGCAGCUGCCCUGCUAUGCCAACCACUGACACUAGUCUGGGUCUGGGGGAUUGACUGGGAGGCUAAAUUAGAAAGCUGUAGGCCUGCGUUGCCGUCUGGCAGCCUAUAAACAUUGCCUGCAAUUGCAUAAAAAUUAGAAGAUGGUAAAGCUGCAUUUCUCUGAUAGAAUAAAACAGUUUAAAUAUAGCAACUACAGUUGGGUAUUUUUGUAGUCAUCUUGCUCUUUGAUAUCAUGGGAAUAUGUCAAGCUCUAUUUAAGAUGCUUAAAGCUUUGAACUACUUUUUUAUUUUAAGAAAUACAUUUUAGGUGAUUGGAAUAGUUAUACAAACCCAGUAAGGGAAAACUUCUCAUAUGUUGUUUUAAGUUUAUGUAAACGGAACAAUUAUUUGUGUGUCUGUGUGUAUUAUCUUUCUUGCCAGGCAAUAGUGGGUGUUCCUGUUAGCAUCAGGAGGUUGAAACUGGCAAGAGUCCUGAGAUUAUGGCUUCAAAAGGCAGCAGCUGAAUUUCAAUUACUUUUCAAACGGGGCUGUUCAUCCCUCUCUGCAUUUGUUCACAAUAUAAGUAAUGCCAGUGAAUCAGUUUCUAUGAGCUGUGGGAUGAAGAGUCAAAGUCUGAGUUGUUGGUAUGUUUUUUUCUUUAAUUCUCUCCCCCCCCCCCCUCCACAAACCUCCACAUUAAUAUUUUGUUUGUCAGGAACAUUCCUGUUUUGGAACCAGCUUUCAAAACUGUCCUAUUCAUUGCCUCUGCGUGAUUGAAUUUUGUAUGUACCUACCUGGAUCCUGAGAUCAUCAGUUGCCCUUUUCCCAGUACCUCCAUAAGCUAAUAUAUGAAAAGUGGCAAAGAGAAUUUGAGUAAUUUUGAGAGGUAGUUCCUGGUUAUGGAAUACUCUCCCCAGAAUGGCUUACCUGGCACCAAAUUUUCAGCACCAGGUAAAGUCCCUCACUCUGUCAAGGCCAGUUAAUUAUCUGCAUUUCACUGUUUUAGGCUGAUGGCUUUAGCUCUGUGUGGAUUUCUGCUAGCAGCUGGAUUAUAUAAUUUUUGUUAAAUUGUGUUAAUAUUUUCUCUGAUGUCAUUUGGCGUUUUUGUGUUUUUGUGCUGCUACUGGUUGAUCUUAUUAUUAUUUUAGUCUAUUUUAUGCUGUGCAUUUUCUAUACAACCUUGGGUAGUAGGUCACUAAUACAUGCAACACACAUACAUUAUUUAAAAAUUCAAAUUCUUUUUGGACAUGAAGUUUGUGGUUAAGUCACAAUGGGAUGAUUUUAUCUUUUCAAUUUUGUGUACUGAAUUGGAAGUCACAGCCUUCUCCAGUCCUGCACCACUAGCCCAGGUGCUUUUGGCUGCCUGAAAUGUGUCCUCAAACUGUGAUAUUGCCUCUUGCUUGUCUUGCUGAAAAGGUGUGUGCAUGUGUGUUUCUAAACCCCUGGCUUUUGCAAAGUCAAAGGGGGUCACAACGGUUGCUUUGCUCAUUCAGAGAAUCUUGCUCUCUCACUUUUUGCUGCAGUCCUGCCCACCACGGACAUGCAAUCCCCAGAAGGAAUGUGGUUCUCAGCCUGAAAAGAUUUCAGUGGAACCAUAGUAGCCCCAACUCAGUGGGAGUCAAUGACAACUAAAGGCAGCAGCGCCCCUUGAAAUGAAGAAGUGCCUCACUGAAAAGUGGUGCUAAUAGCGACAGUAGAACUGUUUAAGGCUCAGUCUGAGAACGACUGUUGCUGAAGCAACAUUUGAGCUCUGCUUUUCCAAAUUCUCCAGCCUGAGCCCUGCAUAGAGUUCUCCAGGGUGCUACCGAAACUUGCCUUGCCUCUGUACUGCUAAGGCUGCUCCUCAAAUCAGAAUAUUAUAUUGCAGAGA